CGAGAAAGUGGAGCAAUCCAUGAGUAAAGUGGCGCACGGGUGAGUAACACGUGACUAACCUACCCUUGAGUGGGGGAUAACCUAGGGAAACCUGGGCUAAUACCGCAUAAUACCUACGGGUCAAAGGAGCAAUUCGCUCGAGGAGGGGGUCGCGGCCGAUUAGUUAGUUGGCGGGGUAAUGGCCCACCAAGACUAUGAUCGGUAUCCGGCCUGAGAGGGCGCACGGACACACUGGAACUGAAACACGGUCCAGACUCCUACGGGAGGCAGCAGUGGGGAAUUUUGCGCAAUGGGGGAAACCCUGACGCAGCAACGCCGCGUGGAGGAUGAAGUCCUUCGGGACGUAAACUCCUUUCGAUCGGGACGAUUAUGACGGUACCGGAAGAAGAAGCCCCGGCUAACUUCGUGCCAGCAGCCGCGGUAAUACGAGGGGGGCGAGCGUUGUUCGGAAUUAUUGGGCGUAAAGGGUGCGUAGGUGGUUUGGUAAGUCUUGUGUGAAAUCUCUGGGCUCAACUCAGAGUCUGCACGAGAAACUGCCGGGCUUGAGUAUGGGAGAGGUGAGUGGAAUUCCUGGUGUAGCGGUGAAAUGCGUAGAUAUCAGGAGGAACACCUGUGGCGAAAGCGGCUCACUGGACCAUAACUGACGCUGAUGCACGAAAGCUA
RNAcentral lists this ribosomal RNA (663 nucleotides) under uncultured Acidobacteriota bacterium. RNAcentral describes it as "bacterial SSU rRNA". It matches the Rfam family "Bacterial small subunit ribosomal RNA", at positions 67 to 762 of the family's 1533-position model. The record is from RNAcentral. Lineage: Bacteria; Pseudomonadati; Acidobacteriota.